RNAcentral lists this ribosomal RNA (253 nucleotides) under uncultured bacterium. RNAcentral's name for it is "partial 16S ribosomal RNA". It matches the Rfam family "Bacterial small subunit ribosomal RNA", at positions 524 to 776 of the family's 1533-position model. The record is from RNAcentral.
UACGUAGGUGGCAAGCGUUGUCCGGAGUUAUUGGGCGUAAAGCGCGCGCAGGCGGUGCGGUAAGUCUCUGGUGAAAGCGCUCGGCUUAACUGGGCGAGGGCCGGGGAGACUGCCAGGCUGGAGGGGAGCAGAGGCGAGUGGAAUUCCGGGUGUAGUGGUGAAAUGCGUAGAGAUCCGGAGGAACACCAGUGGCGAAGGCGGCUCUCUGGGACGGUACUGACGCUGAGACGCGAAAGCGUGGGGAGCGAACAGG